GCGAUAGAUCAUUCAAGUUUCUGACCUAUCAGCUUUCGACGGUACUGUAUUGGACUACCGUGGCAGUGACGGGUAACGGGGAAUUAGGGUUCGAUUCCGGAGAGGGAGCCUGAGAAACGGCUACCACAUCUAAGGAAGGCAGCAGGCGCGCAAAUUACCCAAUCCUGACUCAGGGAGGUAGUGACAAGAAAUAACAACGCUGGAGAUUUUAUUUCUAGUGAUUGGAAUGAUGGGAAUCCAAACCCCUUUCAGAGUAACAAUUGGAGGGCAAGUCUGGUGCCAGCAGCCGCGGUAAUUCCAGCUCCAAUAGCGUAUAUUAAAGUUGUUGCAGUUAAAAAGCUCGUAGUUGGAUUUCUGCUGGAAGCAGCCAGUCCGCCUUAUUAUUAUAUGGGGUGUGCACUUGGUGAAUUCUAGCAUCAUAUCAUCCUGAUUAUGUUGGUAACACGCGUUGCAUGAUUGUUGUCAUUAUUAUUGAUGAUGAUGAUGAUGCAGUGGGUUGUUUCUAAUAAUAUUAGGAUGACUGUUACUUUGAGAAAAUUAGAGUGUUUCAAGCAGGCUUAUUGCCUUGAAUACUGCAGCAUGGAAUAACAAGAUAGGAUUUCAGUUCUAUUUUGUUGGUUUCUAGGACUGAAGUAAUGAUUAAUAGGGACAGUUGGGGGCAUUCGUAUUUAACUGUCAGAGGUGAAAUUCUUAGAUUUGUUAAAGACGAACUACUGCGAAAGCAUUUGCCAAAGAUGUUUUCAUUAAUCAAGAACGAAAGUUAGGGGCUCGAAGACGAUCAGAUACCGUCGUAGUCUUAACCAUAAACUAUGCCGACUAGAGAUAGGAAAAUGUCAUCCUUGACUUCUCCUGCACCUUAUGAGAAAUC
Molecule: ribosomal RNA, 868 nt
Filed under: Sarcocystis sp.
Lineage: Eukaryota; Apicomplexa; Conoidasida; Eucoccidiorida; Sarcocystidae
Description: SSU rRNA
Rfam family: Eukaryotic small subunit ribosomal RNA
Source: RNAcentral